RNAcentral lists this transfer RNA (74 nucleotides) under Ktedonosporobacter rubrisoli. RNAcentral's name for it is "tRNA-Cys". It matches the Rfam family "tRNA". From Rfam's summary of the family: Transfer RNA (tRNA) molecules are approximately 80 nucleotides in length. Their secondary structure includes four short double-helical elements and three loops (D, anti-codon, and T loops). Lineage: Bacteria; Bacillati; Chloroflexota; Ktedonobacteria; Ktedonobacterales; Ktedonosporobacteraceae. The record is from RNAcentral.
GGCGACGUCGCCAAGUGGUAAGGCACGGCUCUGCAAAAGCUGCAUCAGCGGUUCGAUUCCGCUCGUCGCCUCCA